Impatiens glandulifera is the source of this 3288-nucleotide long non-coding RNA. RefSeq lists it as uncharacterized. The record is from RefSeq and is a predicted model, not a curated record. NCBI's taxonomy places the organism in Eukaryota, Viridiplantae, Streptophyta, Magnoliopsida, Ericales, Balsaminaceae. The transcript is spliced from 2 exons.
CCCUCGCAUUCAUUCGCAUGGAGUUCUAUCCAGCAUCUGGUUCGGAUGAAUAGAGGAUUUCAGGCUUCGCCCUGUAGGGAAUCGCGGUAAUAAGGCAGUAUGAAGUUGCCUCAAUGGUGAUCAUGGGGUUGACACCAACAGCACUGGGCAAAACACUGGCAUCACAAACGUACAGACCUUCUGCCUCCCAGGUCUCCCCAUUCUCAUCUACUGCCCCUUCCUGUUCUGUGAUUCCCAUCCUGCAACUUCCCAUUUGAUGGGCUGAACAGUAAGUCAUCCAGUUCUUCACCAUUGAUUUGGGCCCUGAAGCUGCAUCAACAGUGUCUAGAAACUCCUCCAGUUCCUUCUCUUUAAUCCCCUUACAUUUGAUUCUCUGCCCAUCACUUUGUUGGGUCCCUACCUCAGUAGCCCCUGCGGCUACUAAGAUCCUCAAUGCUUGCCUUAACCCAGCCCUUAUAUUUUCUCUAUCCAAUGGAGCAAAAUUGUAACUUACCCUUCCCUUGCUCCUUAUUUCUCCAGAGCCUUCAUCUCUGAUCAUCGAAAUUAACUGCGCUGUCCUGGAGUACUUGAGGAGUCUGUUCUUCAUCUCAAUUCCAGAUUCCCACGGGCAUAAUGCAGCAAACUGCCCAGGAGCCAGUGAUGGAGUUUCCAAAAGAGCUCUAAUGUUAUAAUCCUCAGACAUCACCUUAUGCAGUGAAGUGAUUAUCCCACCCUCAUACUUUUUCCCUUUGAUUUCUGAGCUAGAUUCUGGAAAGUAUCCCCAUGCCAUUAAAACUGGGUGUAGAUGAAGGUUCCGCCCUAUGUGUGGGUUUCUUAACCCACUAGAGAGAAGCAAAGGUGGCGUAAGAAGAGAGCCACAAGCUGAGAUUGUUGCUUUUGCUUCAACUUGUAUUCUCAUUCUCAUGUUUGGGCUGACCAUAUUUGCAAUAACUCCCGAGCAUUUUUUUUGUCUUCUGACUAUUCCAUCCGUUUCGUUUAACAAGAAUCUCUCAGCUUCACAUCCAGUUAUGAUCACUGCACCAUGGUCUACAGCAUCGACAAGCCAAGUGGUAUUUGUGCCCUUUUUGUCUGCUGUUUUGCAGCCUAAACCGCAAGAACCGCAGUAAUGGUGCUCCGACGAGUUUCGUGGCACAGCCUCUACGUUAAGUCCAAGAUUCUCACAUCCCUUACGAAGGACUUGAUUCUGGAAACCUUCUUGUGAGCAUUUUUCUGUGACGCCAAUUCUCUCGCAUACUUUAUCCAUAGCAAAAAGAUAUUGAGGGUUACCAAAUAGAGGGAUCUUGUUAUUCUCUGACCAUUCUUGAAGCACAGACUUCGGUGUCUUGAUGGAGGCUGACCAAUUCACAGCAGAACCCCCACCAACAGUUGAUCCUGCCAUAAUCAUGAUCUUGCCAUCAAUAGUGGAGAAGAGGCCUCCUUGCUCAUAUAAUUCAUUGAUGGAUGGUCCUUCUAGUAAUGAGUAAUCAUGUUGGCCAAAGUAGUUCCCUUUCUCAAGAACUACCACUUUCAAGCCAGAACUUGCUAGGACUCCGGCUGCAACACCUCCACCACAACCAGAGCCUACUAUUACAACAUCACAUUUGAUUUUGUAGAGUCUCUCCUUAGUAUCUUGAAUGACUUCAAGGCCUUUCUGGGUAAGGCACUGGAUUAAUGUCUCCUCAUUCUCGUACUUAGUUUCUAUUAUUCCUUUCUGUAGAGGUCUCUCUUUUUUAUCUUCAGACAACUUCUCAGCCCUACUGUCUGCCUUGUAACCCAUAGCUUCCCAUGCUGGAUUUUUUGAAUUCUCACCUCCCUGCAUAAGCAAAUGAUAGAACUUGAAUAUAAAAGACUAGUAUUUGAAUAUACUAUGCAUGAAGCUCUGAAUAUCUGUCUGAUUUUUAUUUUUCACUUCAUCAUUUGAUUUGCAAUCCUACCGUGGUCAAUUGUCAAUGAUUAGGUAACAAGUUUAGUGAAGUCAAUCAUGUUUUACCCCUAGCUUCUAAACUCAAUUAAUUAUGAUUAGGACAAUAGACAAUUUUCAUAUUGGGAGGUUUGGUAGGUUAGUUAUUGAAGACACAAUUUCCUUUUUUUUUGUAGAACAGGGAAUAUCCUAAUGAAGUUGUUAAUUGUUACGAAGCUGAUAAAUGACAAACUAUAAUGUUAAUCUACAUGACCCACCAUUAUGGUGUAGUUGGCAUAAUUAACUUAUAUAUGCAUAAUUAACUACUUGUGAUUAACAUUGGUUACUGCAACCAUCAAUCUGUAUGUUUAUUUUUUAUGCCAACAAAGAAUCUACCCGUUUUUUUUUUUAAAAAAAAAAUAAACAUGUUAAUUUUCUUAAGACGACUACAUAGGAUAAGGCUAUAUAUAUGAGCAUUUGUUAAUUUGUAUGCAACUUAGAGAUAUUUUUGCAUAUAAACCUCCUGCAGUCAUUUAUGAUUUUGAUUGAAGCAUAUGCAUACAUGAAAACUUGCUAGGAAUGAAACCAAUUAAGGAGCUUUAAUUUACCUGGGAGAAGAAGGUAUAAAGGCAGAGGGAUUUGAUGAGCACAAAUCCAAGCCUGAUGGGUGUUAAGAACCAGUGCUUCAUCCAUGUCUGAACAACUCUCUCUCGCUUAUCCAGAGGCAUUUCCUGAAACCUAGAGAUAAAUGGCCAGUCGCCUUUAAAAGUAAGCCGGCCACAAAGCAGUAGUGAUCCUAGCCUCGUGGAAAGUGCCAUUAAAACCACCCGCACAAUGAUCAAGGAUUCAAGGACACCCAGUUUGGUAAUCUGUUCUGCCACCUGUAAGUUACUUGUAGAGUUAAAGACGCAUGCACAUAUAGUAAUUAAUAGUUAAUUAGAGAGUGGGAGAGAUUUUAUAUCUUAAGCACCUGAUCAGGGACAUGAUUCUGAGAGCCAGAAGCCUUGUGAAAGUCGAUAAUGGGGAUGUCUGAUAUUGGUUCUUCUUUUUCUUCUUCUUCUUCCCGAUGAGGAACAUCCAGAGAAUUCAUGGGUACAGAAGGUAAGAUAGUAUCACAUAAGCUAGCUAAUGCUUCCAUCUCACCUGAAGAGAAGCCAUGUUUGUACUUUUCUUCUCCUUUUCUCCUUCCACCCCUCAACAAAGAAUGACACUCAUCCACCAUCUUCUUCUUCCUAAUAAUUAUAGCUGAGUUAGAUUAAUGAUAUAUGAUGGUGUCCACUACUAGACUAUUUAUAUGAAACUCAGCUGUCUAAGUGGAUGCAAAAUAAUAUUAUCUUAACCAAAAGGUCAUUACUAUAUUACUUAAAGGCAUGUUUUGCCACUUGAAUGACAUCAUCAAGAUUGUCCCA